Molecule: ribosomal RNA, 378 nt
Filed under: Alternaria sp. IA202
Lineage: Eukaryota; Fungi; Ascomycota; Dothideomycetes; Pleosporales; Pleosporaceae
Description: SSU rRNA
Rfam family: Eukaryotic small subunit ribosomal RNA
Source: RNAcentral
ACAGGUCUGUGAUGCCCUUAGAUGUUCUGGGCCGCACGCGCGCUACACUGACAGAGCCAACGAGUUCUUCACCUUGGCCGAAAGUCUUGGGUAAUCUUGUUAAACUCUGUCGUGCUGGGGAUAAAGCAUUGCAAUUAUUGCUUUUCAACGAGGAAUGCCUAGUAAGCGCGUGUCAUCAGCAUGCGUUGAUUACGUCCCUGACCUUUGUACACACCGCCCGUCGCUACUACCGAUUGAAUGGCUCAGUGAGGCCUUCGGACUGGCUCGGGGAGGUUGGCAACGACCACCCCAAGCCGGAAAGUUCGUCAAACUCGGUCAUUUAGAGGAAGUAAAAGUCGUAACAAGGUCUCCGUAGGUGAACCUGCGGAGGGAUCAUUA